RNAcentral lists this ribosomal RNA (451 nucleotides) under Barbatia virescens. RNAcentral describes it as "partial 12S ribosomal RNA". It matches the Rfam family "Bacterial small subunit ribosomal RNA", at positions 875 to 1395 of the family's 1533-position model. Lineage: Eukaryota; Metazoa; Mollusca; Bivalvia; Arcoida; Arcidae. The record is from RNAcentral.
UGUUACUCUAGGCGUUAAGUACAAGCCAGCUUAGUGGUUUUGCCGGGCAACUACGUUCUAACGAGUAAAAGCCAAAGUACCUGGCGGUUUAAGAUAUCUCGUCUCGUGAGACUUGACGGUUAAUCCGAUGAUCCGCGUUACACCCUACCCGUUUUAGCGAGUGGUCCUACAGUUGGUGUAUGGUCGUUGUCAGCUCUUGUUGUGAGGCGCUGAGGAAUGGAAGCAUAAUUCGUUGGAACCGCUAGUAUUAUGAGGGGGUGGACUGUGGAACGCAGUGUUUAGAACGAGUGAAGUCAGAUCGUUAUGCCGCCAAAAAAUGGGGCUUAGUUGAGUCACAUUGAUUAGAUCAAACGGAAACUCUCUUGAAAUAGGGGGUGGAAGAAGGAGUGAGUAGUAGUAGGGAAAUAGUACGUCUCUACGAAUAGUAAAUUCUUAAGUGUACAGAUCGCCC